Long non-coding RNA from Tyto alba (common barn owl), 1345 nucleotides. RefSeq lists it as uncharacterized. The record is from RefSeq and is a predicted model, not a curated record. The transcript has 3 exons. NCBI's taxonomy places the organism in Eukaryota, Metazoa, Chordata, Aves, Strigiformes, Tytonidae.
CGCUCCCGCCGCCCCCGCUUCAGCCCCCGCUCCCCGCCGCCGGCACCCGGCCUCCCCUCCGCUCCCCCCUCUUCCCGCUGGCACCCCGCUUUCCUCACGGAAAGAAAGGGCCGUCUGUUACCAACAGCCCGGCGCUUGCGGGGGGGGGGGGGGGGGGGGGGGGAGCGCCGUGAGGAAGCCUCUGCCCGCCGCCGGCACAGUCCCUCGCCGCCGCAGAGCGGUGGCACCUACGAGUGUUUCCCACAGGAAUGGCCCUCAGCGGUCGCGUGUCGUCGGUGGCGGCGGGUGGGAGGACACCGGGUGACAAAGUGUUGAGGCAGGAGAGGCAGGCGGCACGGAGCGGUGCAGGAGAAAUCCGGCGUGGCUCGUCUGUCCAGGCACCCGCUUCAAGUGCCUCAUCGUGAAGCGCUGAGGGGUUUUUAUGGACAGGGCGCACACGUGAGGAGACUGCAGCAAAGAUCAGCAUAGUUUCAAAACAGCCCAACACAUCCCUGAAGAAACGCUGCUUGAUGAAGCUUCAAGAGGUGACCUUGCAGCAGGAGCUAAGCCUCGGCAGCCUGCGAGCACGGUGCUGCCACCGCUCCGUAGUGCCACGGGAGCUGGCAGCCAUGAAGAGCUGUGCUGCCGAUGCCGUUUGCGGUGUCCAUUCCCCGACUCCCUGCAGAGUCUGGCGCUCUUUGCUCGUGCCAGGGCAAGGCCGGCCGGCUGCACGUGCUUCUGACUGAGCACUGAGCCUCGUCGGUGAGAGGGACGUGCCGUGUCUGGCAGCACCCGAGAACUACUGCGACCGUCCUGCCCAGCAGCUUGCAUCCUCCUGCAAGAAAUUAGAAAUCCGGGGAGACACAUGUGCAGCUGAAGUAAUGCCAUUUUGGGUACAAAGACCACGGUUCAAUUUAAAAUGGGCGACUACUUUCUUUCUUGCACCUGCUAUUUAAUCAGAAAUCCUGAUAAUCCUGAGACAAAGAGGUAUGGAUCUGAUCAGUCCCUUGAAGACUGUUGACUGACUCUGCAAACAAGCGAGAGGCGUGGUGUGUCAGAUGCUAAAUUUCUCAGGAAAGAAGUUAAAAUAAACAAAACCAGUUUUACUUGGAUCCCUCUGCAACGCAGACAUUUAAAUACAGUCGGUUGGGUGCCAGUGACACUGUCAUUGGGAAGAGAAAUCCUGAAGAAAAGAAAGCUGAGCACAUGCCAAAUGGGAACUGAAGAGCCAAGGUGCAAGUAACAGGGGUUCCCCUCAUCCCAGCCUGGAAGCCUGGCCAGAAAUGUCAUGAAACCAUUCAUCCCACACGUGAUGUAUAUUGUUCUAUUAUUCUGUUUUAUUUAAUCUGGCAAUAAAUUGACGUAU